UACGAAGGGGGCUAGCGUUGCUCGGAAUCACUGGGCGUAAAGGGUGCGUAGGCGGGUCUUUAAGUCAGGGGUGAAAUCCUGGAGCUCAACUCCAGAACUGCCUUUGAUACUGAGGAUCUUGAGUCCGGGAGAGGUGAGUGGAACUGCGAGUGUAGAGGUGAAAUUCGUAGAUAUUCGCAAGAACACCAGUGGCGAAGGCGGCUCACUGGCCCGGUACUGACGCUGAGGCACGAAAGCGUGGGGAGCGAACCGG
This 253-nucleotide ribosomal RNA is filed under the name uncultured bacterium. RNAcentral's name for it is "partial 16S ribosomal RNA". It matches the Rfam family "Bacterial small subunit ribosomal RNA", at positions 524 to 776 of the family's 1533-position model. The record is from RNAcentral.